RNAcentral lists this ribosomal RNA (261 nucleotides) under uncultured archaeon. RNAcentral's name for it is "partial 16S ribosomal RNA". It matches the Rfam family "Archaeal small subunit ribosomal RNA", at positions 748 to 1008 of the family's 1478-position model. The record is from RNAcentral.
UAGCCGUAAACGAUACUCGCUAGGUGUCGGCCACGGUGCGACCGUUGUCGGUGCCGUAGGGAAGCCGUGAAGCGAGCCACCUGGGAAGUACGGCCGCAAGGCUGAAACUUAAAGGAAUUGGCGGGGGAGCACAACAACGGGUGGAGCUUGCGGUUUAAUUGGACUCAACGCCGGGAAUCUCACCGGAUAAGACAGCUGAAUGAUAGUCGGGAUGAAGACUCUACUUGACUAGCUGAGAGGAGGUGCAUGGCGUCAGUGACU